UUUCAGCUAUAGAAGCAAUAAAGAACCUCGAUGAACAAAUACAAUUUCUGAGUAUUUUCACUUAAAUUUUACGUGUCAUUUAUAAACCAAGUUUGUUACGAAGCUUUUUUUGCAUUCAGUGAUUUAAAGACUCACAAAACCAGUAAGUUGAUUGGUUUAUGUAUCAAAACAAAUUUCUUCUAGCCAAGAAGCUGAUGUCAGCAGUAAGUUCUCCUAAAUCAAACGAACCUGAAAGUCUCGAAGAAGGAGAGACCAAGCCAAAACGAUGCAAAAGGAAGCUGUAUUCCACUGUCGUUUCUGGCCCUCUAGAUAUACCUGCUUCUUCGGAAUCUGAGGAACAAAAGAAGGAAAGUGAUCAUCUGAUCAUCAAGCGACGGCUGAGAUCCAAAACAGCUAAAAAACCUUGAAGAAGCACGUUUGUUCCCCCUUUGUCAGGGACAUACUUCUAUCAUAUUAUUUAAACUGGUUGUUAAUAAAAAGUAACAGUUACUCCAUGUUCUUGAAUUUGUAUAUAGGUGUACAGUGUCUCUCUGACAGUUUCAAACUGACUCCAUUGAGGCUGAAAUAAAUACAAGCUUUCUUAAA
This is a non-coding RNA of Coturnix japonica (Japanese quail), 585 nucleotides long. The record is from RefSeq and is a predicted model, not a curated record. NCBI's taxonomy places the organism in Eukaryota, Metazoa, Chordata, Aves, Galliformes, Phasianidae.